AUGAAUUUUGAAGGUGACAGUAAUUUUCUCCUUGAAAAACGCUAGGUUGAAAAUACGCCCCCAGUUAUGACGUCAACCUGCCAGAUGGUAACUUCACAUAAUCAGUUCUUGUUUAAAUGUUGAAGGUGUUUCAGAAUGGAAAAAGUGUCAGGAUUGGAUGUUAUCCGGGUUUUUACUAGCCACAAUAUCCGUCACUCCAUGCCAUGAAGUAGGCCGGUCAUCAUGGCUGCACAUUUUACCAUCCCACUCAUUGAAGAAACCCAACAACAUGUCAGAUCACCCAAAAUGACCAGUUUCCAGUUUUGCGGCUAUUUUAAACGGAUCGGUAAAAAGUCGAUCAGGGUUACUCCGGACUUGAUCUCCCAGAACUUUGAAAAUGCCGGAUGUUGCUUGCUAUUUAUUU
Long non-coding RNA from Daphnia pulicaria, 403 nucleotides. RefSeq lists it as uncharacterized. The transcript is spliced from 4 exons. The record is from RefSeq and is a predicted model, not a curated record. NCBI's taxonomy places the organism in Eukaryota, Metazoa, Arthropoda, Branchiopoda, Diplostraca, Daphniidae.